This 464-nucleotide ribosomal RNA is filed under the name uncultured bacterium. RNAcentral describes it as "partial 16S ribosomal RNA". It matches the Rfam family "Bacterial small subunit ribosomal RNA", at positions 29 to 507 of the family's 1533-position model. The record is from RNAcentral.
ACGCACGCUGGCGGCGUGCUUAACCCCUGCCAGUCGAACGGAAAGGCCCUGCUUGCAGGGUACUCGAGUGGCGAACGGGUGAGUAACACGUGGGUGAUCUGCCCUGCACUUCGGGAUAAGCCUGGGAAACUGGGUCUAAUACCGGAUAGGAGCCAUUUUUAGUGUGAUGGUUGGAAAGUUUUUUCGGUGUAGGAUGAGCUCGCGGCCUAUCAGCUUGUUGGUGGGGUAAUGGCCUACCAAGGCGGCGACGGGUAGCCGGCCUGAGAGGGUGGACGGCCACAUUGGGACUGAGAUACGGCCCAGACUCCUACGGGAGGCAGCAGUGGGGAAUAUUGCACAAUGGGCGCAAGCCUGAUGCAGCGACGCCGCGUGGGGGAUGACGGCCUUCGGGUUGUAAACUCCUUUCGCUAGGGACGAAGCUUUUUGUGACGGUACCUAGAUAAGAAGCACCGGCUAACUACGUG